CGAUAUAUUACUUAUCGAGUACUAUAAAAAAAUGCGGAUAUAGUCGAAUGGUAAAAUUUCUCUUUGCCAAGAGAAGACGCGAGUUCGAUUUCCGCUAUCCGCCCCUA
Molecule: non-coding RNA, 107 nt
Organism: Lupinus albus (white lupine)
Lineage: Eukaryota; Viridiplantae; Streptophyta; Magnoliopsida; Fabales; Fabaceae
Source: the annotation of a GenBank genome assembly